This is a non-coding RNA of Otolemur garnettii (small-eared galago), 46 nucleotides long. Lineage: Eukaryota; Metazoa; Chordata; Mammalia; Primates; Galagidae. The record is from Rfam.
CUAAAGGCUCUUUACAGAGCCACCGCACUUGCCCACAAACAGAUGU